Molecule: transfer RNA, 85 nt
Filed under: Isosphaera pallida ATCC 43644
Lineage: Bacteria; Pseudomonadati; Planctomycetota; Planctomycetia; Isosphaerales; Isosphaeraceae
Description: tRNA-Leu (TAA) (tRNA-Leu-TAA-1-1)
Rfam family: tRNA
About the family: Transfer RNA (tRNA) molecules are approximately 80 nucleotides in length. Their secondary structure includes four short double-helical elements and three loops (D, anti-codon, and T loops).
Source: Rfam by way of RNAcentral
GCCGGCGUGGCGGAAUGGCAGACGCCGUGGACUUAAAAUCCACUGGGGGGCAACUCCCGUGCGGGUUCGAAUCCCGCCGCCGGCA